ACAUGUUACAGGGAAAAUGAACUUAUCAGGCUUUGAACUUAAUUACUAGUAAAAAACAUAAAACUAUUUGAAAAAUAGGCAAUCGUUCAUCAAUAACAGUAGCACCAACAAGAGAAUGUAUUCCCCAACAAUCAAAGUCCUUAAAUAAAAACUACAUGAGCUAAUAAUUAAUCAACUCGUGACUGUAAAUUGUGAAACUUUCUUGACAAACACAUAGAAGGACAAUCACAUCUUGUGCAACUUUUUUAUAAGACUUGUACCUGAAAAUAAAAAAAACAUGACAAAUCACACAAAAUGGACAUUUUUGUUUUUCACUAUCAGGUGAUUCAUAUACUAUCAUGCUACUAUAUCAUGUCAGAGUACCACAUCUGUAAGUUACCUAAUAAAAAAAAAAGGCUACAUAAUUAUAUUUGGAUCGCAGAACGGACAUAACCCAUAUCAUUUUCACAGCACAAAAUUAUUGGGAAUGCACUGCAUCAAAUAUUUAAUAUGGUUUAGUUAAGCCUCCUCCAUAGAACUUCCACCUUAGUGUAAACUCACGAUCCUAUCUCUACACCCUUUUUUUCUUCUUUUUAUUUCAUUACGUUUCACUGUCCAUCAAAUAAAUGAACACUAUUAUACUUUGGUCAUCACCCGUCAGGUAAUUGACCUUUUAAUUUUAUUGAACCCUAAUCACUAGUUCAAAAUAUUUAAGUCCAAGUUAAUAGUAGCACGCCCAUCACCCUCGUAUAUGUCAAUCUAAUUUGUUUAACCCACUUCCGAUAUGGAUUAAAUUGGGGUGUGACUAUCACACUCUGCACUACAUCACAGAAUCUCUCUUUUACCAUUCGGCUGCAACCCACGGGACCACCACAUACAAAGAAAUUAUUUAUAAGCCAAAACCACUAAUAGAUUAAAGACAACCCUCAAUAGUUUCAUUAAAACCCAAAAGCUUCAUUAUUAAUACUGAACAACUUUAAUUAUCUUAAUGCUAAUAACGAUCCUAUUAUUAUAUUGACCUCAAAACUCAACCCGCCCCAGUUGAUCUGACUCGUUGUUUGGGAUUUCCAACACAAUUUGAUCAAUUCCUACAGGUGCAAAUGACCGAUGGUAGUUCACCUCGUGAGAGAUUAUUGCUCGUGUAACUCGCAAAACCUAUUUCUACCGUCGGCCUCAACCUUCUCCUUCUCAACAUCGGCUUCACAACGGAUACUGGAAAUCAGCCCCACAUAAAUCCGACAAGUUGGCCAAACUCCUAUCUUUGUGAUUCUAGUUCUUAGUUCAUUGUUGCAACCAACGCUGCCAAACUGAUCACAACUACCGAUCAAAACCAAACAAGGCACAUGAAAUGACCAAAGGAAGUAGAACAAAAGGUCAGUGACAAUAAGUACAAGAUUCACGAAAAGUGGAUAGUUAAACCCCAAGAUGAUGAAAGAAUACGGCCAGUGAUCUCAAAAUUACACAGCAUCGCCAUCCGAUUACGAUGUGAAUUCAGGCGAACAAAUUUGCAACAGAAAUCAUAAGUCGAGGAAUCAGAAGUUAUGGAUAAGAAUAAGUUCAUAUAUCCAAAUCUCAUAGAAAGUUGAUCUUUCGAUACUAAAAGUUUGGGAUAAUAGGGGAGAGAAAGAGCGUCACCGUCGAAGGAGAGGAAGAGAGAAAUGGAUUCGUCAAUAGGGGACGCCGCAACCGCCUUCCCG
This 1676-nucleotide long non-coding RNA is filed under the name Musa acuminata (dwarf banana). RNAcentral describes it as "long non-coding RNA (MACU_LNC002506)". Lineage: Eukaryota; Viridiplantae; Streptophyta; Magnoliopsida; Zingiberales; Musaceae. The record is from RNAcentral.